AGGUAGGCAGGGCACCAAACGCAAUGCUGCCGCCGAUUUCGACCACGUUUUUUUUUUAUCAAAUUGAAUCCUGGUGAUAUUAGCCGGCAAUAGGCCCAGCCCAUUCAUCGCCACAUUAGAACUUAAUUAAAUCAAAGCCUAGGAUGGUGGUUACCCAUCAACAACCCAGUAGGUCAUAGGCCUAGCCCAGCUACAGCCCACGUAUGGUCCUGUCUUUGAGUUAUUUGCUUCUGCAUAAUAUUUUUCACG
Molecule: long non-coding RNA, 249 nt
Filed under: Setaria viridis
Lineage: Eukaryota; Viridiplantae; Streptophyta; Magnoliopsida; Poales; Poaceae
Description: long non-coding RNA (SVIR_LNC000149)
Source: RNAcentral